CAGCAGUCGCCACGGUAAUACAGAGGGUGCGAGCGUUAAUCGGAUUUACUGGGCGUAAAGCGUGCGUAGGCGGCUUUUUAAGUCGGAUGUGAAAUCCCUGAGCUUAACUUAGGAAUUGCAUUCGAUACUGGGAAGCUAGAGUAUGGGAGAGGAUGGUAGAAUUCCAGGUGUAGCGGUGAAAUGCGUAGAGAUCUGGAGGAAUACCGAUGGCGAAGGCAGCCAUCUGGCCUAAUACUGACGCUGAGGUACGAAAGCAUGGGGAGCAAACAGGAUUAGAUACCCCUGUAGUCCCUGUCUCUUAUAA
This 304-nucleotide ribosomal RNA is filed under the name uncultured bacterium. RNAcentral describes it as "partial 16S ribosomal RNA". It matches the Rfam family "Bacterial small subunit ribosomal RNA", at positions 506 to 809 of the family's 1533-position model. The record is from RNAcentral.